RNAcentral lists this unclassified non-coding RNA (238 nucleotides) under Hevea brasiliensis (rubber tree). The record is from RNAcentral. Lineage: Eukaryota; Viridiplantae; Streptophyta; Magnoliopsida; Malpighiales; Euphorbiaceae.
GAUAACUGAUAAAGUUUGUUGCCGUUAAAAUAACUUUGUGCAGUUACCAGCAUGUCCUUCUGUUUUUGUUCCUAUCUGUCCUCUACCCCACCACCUCCAGUUGCAAUCAUUUUAUCUUCCCAGAUCCUAAGAACUGUAUAAUUGCUGGAUAAUUUUCUGUUAUCAUCUAUGAAACUAUGAUAUUACCUGUUCUUAAUGAUGUAGUAGAACAAUAGAAAUGGCUUACUACUAUUGCAUG